AAACUAACAAGGAUUCCCCUAGUAACGGCGAGUGAAGUGGGAAAAGCUCAACUUUGAAAUCUGGCACCUUCGGUGUCCGAAUUGUAGUCUCUAGAAGUGUUUUCCGUGCUGGCCCAUGUGUGAGUCUGUUGGAACACAGCGUCAUAGAGGGUGACAACCCCGUUCAUAACAUGGACCCCAGUGCUUUGUGAUACACUCUCGACGAGUCGAGUUGUUUGGGAAUGCAGCUCAAAUUGGGUGGUAAAUUCCAUCUAAAGCUAAAUAUUGGCGAGAGACCGAUAGCAAACAAGUACCGUGAGGGAAAGAUGAAAAGCACUUUGGAAAGAGAGUUAACAGUACGUGAAAUUGCUAAAAGGGAAACGAUUGAAGUCAGACGUGCGUGGUGCGGUUCAGCUCUGGUUCGCCAGAGUGUAUUCCGUGCCUUUGCAGGCCAACAUCGGUUUCACGAGGCGGAUAAAGGUUUGAGAAAUGUGGCACCUUCGGGUGUGUUAUAGUCUCUUGCUGAAUACGCCUCGAGGGACCGAGGAACGCAGCGCGCCGCAAGGCAAAGCCUCUGGGCUUUUCGCGCUUAGGAUGUUGGUGAAAUGGCUUUAAACGAC
RNAcentral lists this ribosomal RNA (599 nucleotides) under Cystastrum externum. Its description in RNAcentral is "eukaryotic LSU rRNA". It matches the Rfam family "Eukaryotic large subunit ribosomal RNA", at positions 62 to 648 of the family's 3401-position model. The record is from RNAcentral. Lineage: Eukaryota; Fungi; Basidiomycota; Cystobasidiomycetes; Cystobasidiales; Cystobasidiaceae.